GACGAACGCUGGCGGCGUGCUUAACACAUGCAAGUCGAACGGAAAGGCUCCAGCUUGCUGGAGUACUCGAGUGGCGAACGGGUGAGUAACACGUGGGUAAUCUGCCCUGCACUCUGGGAUAAGCCUGGGAAACUGGGUCUAAUACUGGAUAUGACCUUUCUCCUUAUGGGGUUUGGUGGAAAGUUUUUCGGUGUAGGAUGAGCCCGCGGCCUAUCAGCUUGUUGGUGGGGUGAUGGCCUACCAAGGCGACGACGGGUAGCCGGCCUGAGAGGGUGAUCGGCCACAUUGGGACUGAGGUACGGCCCAGACUCCUACGGGAGGCAGCAGUGGGGAAUAUUGCACAAUGGGCGGAAGCCUGAUGCAGCGACGCCGCGUGAGGGAUGACGGCCUUCGGGUUGUAAACCUCUUUCAGCAGGGACGAAGCGUAAGUGACGGUACCUGCAGAAGAAGCACCGGCUAACUAUGUG
Molecule: ribosomal RNA, 467 nt
Filed under: uncultured bacterium
Lineage: Bacteria
Description: partial 16S ribosomal RNA
Rfam family: Bacterial small subunit ribosomal RNA
Source: RNAcentral